AGAUUGAACGCUGGCGGCAGGCCUAACACAUGCAAGUCGAGCGGCAGCACGGGUACUUGUACCUGGUGGCGAGCGGCGGACGGGUGAGUAAUGCCUAGGAAUCUGCCUGAUAGUGGGGGAUAACGUUCGGAAACGGACGCUAAUACCGCAUACGUCCUACGGGAGAAAGUGGGGGAUCUUCGGACCUCACGCUAUCAGAUGAGCCUAGGUCGGAUUAGCUAGUUGGUAGGGUAAAGGCCUACCAAGGCUACGAUCCGUAACUGGUCUGAGAGGAUGAUCAGUCACACUGGAACUGAGACACGGUCCAGACUCCGUACGGGAGGCAGCAGUGGGGGAAUAGUUGGACAAGUGGGACGAAAGCCUGAUCCAGCCAUGCCGCGUGUG
Molecule: ribosomal RNA, 384 nt
Filed under: uncultured soil bacterium
Lineage: Bacteria
Description: bacterial SSU rRNA
Rfam family: Bacterial small subunit ribosomal RNA
Source: RNAcentral